GUUCCUGUAGUUAAAGUUUAACGACAGUUUUUCAAGCUGUAGAUCUCAGGUGUAGACUGAGCAGGAAUU
This 69-nucleotide transfer RNA is filed under the name Myzornis pyrrhoura. Its description in RNAcentral is "tRNA-Glu". It matches the Rfam family "tRNA". Rfam says of the family: Transfer RNA (tRNA) molecules are approximately 80 nucleotides in length. Their secondary structure includes four short double-helical elements and three loops (D, anti-codon, and T loops). The record is from RNAcentral. Lineage: Eukaryota; Metazoa; Chordata; Aves; Passeriformes.